Long non-coding RNA from Amblyraja radiata (thorny skate), 1809 nucleotides. RefSeq lists it as uncharacterized. Lineage: Eukaryota; Metazoa; Chordata; Chondrichthyes; Rajiformes; Rajidae. The transcript is spliced from 2 exons. The record is from RefSeq and is a predicted model, not a curated record.
GAGAAAGAGAGAGAUGGAUAGACAAAUAUAAAUGAAAUGCAGCUAAUUCAUCAAGAAAAUAGCAUAAAAUCCAUUUGCACCUCGUGAUCAAGAUCUCAAAUUAAAAUUACUAUAAUCAUUAUAAAAAUAUUUUUAAAACCACUUUUUUAAAAUUACCUCAUUAAAAAAUCUCGGGAUAAAAGUGGACGUUGGAGAAUGUAGCAAAGUAAGGAUGCAGAAAAAAACGAUGACAAAAAUGUACAUGUAUGUAUAAUUAUUUGUGUUUACUUGCAAAGUUAUGUUUGUCCUUUUGGAAUACGAGAAAUCGUUCAUGACAUAUUGGUGUUGGAAUUCCUAAUACUGAAAAUGGGAAUUAGAAAAGCUCUCUCCUUAUGAAAGCUGGAGUUUAAUAGACAGGAACAUGUACAGGAUGUUUAUACAAAAACAAUGUAAACAUCUGCAAUCUGCUCCUUUAAAGAAAAUUGAGUGAAAUCCCAUCUAAUACUGUUUCCUUUCUGUGACUUAUAAAAUGUUCUUUGUAGCUUCACGCCUGACUGUUUAGAUAUUCUCUUUAUGUAUGUAUUUAUAUAUAAAUAAGUCAGUACAUGCUGGGUUGUGCCCAGUGCUGGCCUUGCAGUGUGCCACACACACACACACACACACACGUACUGUCAUUGCAAAAGACAGGGGGGAAAAACACAGCGACACAGCCUCGGCGCCUGGCAUCGUUUGCAAUAAUGUGUCGCAUCCCCUCUAACAUUAUCCAAGAAUAUGAAUCGCUCUCCGUGGGAUCUUUGAUUGAACGUUGUAUCAUUUUCAACGAAUUUAGGUGAAUUCAGAUUAUUGUUAUUUGAAAUGUAAUAUUAAUGAUUUUGAAACAUUUUGAUGUAACUUAAAAAACAGUUUGAAGUGAGUUAUACACAGCAUUGUAUACACAGCACAGGACCAAUUUGAAGAUCUUCUUUAGGGCAAAACGUUACCCAAGAUUAUAGGCAAAAAGAUGUUUACACAUUUGGUUUAUUAAUCAGCUUUUAUAAAAAAAUAAGAUAUUGGCUCCCAGACUCUAGAGAAAAAAAAUCUAACUCAACCGCCCUUCCCAUAUAAUUCAAGCCGCCAAGUCCUGCAAAUUUUGGAAGUGCUGGAAAUAUUUGGAUUUUCAGUUUUUCAUAAUGAAUAAAUAAACCUAAUGAACUUCAAGUAAUUGUUAUCAUAUUUUAUUUUACAGCAUUGAAUUUGUUUCUGUGCCUGGAAUUCUAUCCCACCAUCUAAUCAAUAAUGAUGGAAAAAUAAGACUAUUUAAACAAUAUGAAAUCAUUUAUCUUUUCCUAGCCUUUGUAAAAAAAACGACCCAUACAAAAUAUUUACUGAGCUGCUAAAGCUCAAUUUUAUUGCCGAUAGUUUUGCAAAAUUUGUGACAGUGAAAAUUGCAGCAAGUUAUAUUUAUGUAUAAAUACCUAAGUUUAAUUUAUUAAGUUGUGGCAUAUUUUCAUUAUUGGACCACCUAAAGUUUAACUUUAGUUCUCUCGCUUCUACAUUGAUAACAAAACAAAUUGCAUUGGCUUGGCUUAAGUUAACAGGAAAGCUACUGGAUUGUGUGAUAAGUAGUUAACAAAUUAUUGCCAAAAAUAGGUGAAACAUAUCACCUAAUUUGGCUCUUAAAUCAGACCCAAAAUUGUAAUUUAGAAUGCAAAAUUAGAUCAUAUACUGUAUUUCGCCCAACUAACUCCUUUGUGAUUGGUUUGUUUUUGUUUCUAUGUCUAUGUAUCUGGCUCUGUAUCAUUCUGCCACUGUAAAAGGAUAUCAUAUUUAAUAAAAACGAAUUCAAAAUGA